This 98-nucleotide microRNA precursor is filed under the name Colobus angolensis palliatus. RNAcentral describes it as "miRNA (ENSCANG00000001066.1)". The record is from RNAcentral. Lineage: Eukaryota; Metazoa; Chordata; Mammalia; Primates; Cercopithecidae.
AGGUGGGAGGAUUGCUUGAGCCUGGGAGAUGGAGGUUACAGUGAGCUGAGAUCACACCACUACACUCCAGCCUGGGUGACAGAGUGAGAGCCUGUCUC